GAUGAAGAACGUAGCGAAAUGCGAUACUUGGUGUGAAUUGCAGAAUCCCGUGAACCAUCGAGUCUUUGAACGCAAGUUGCGCCCGAAGCCAUCAGGUUGAGGGCACGUCUGCCUGGGCGUCAUAUAUCGUUGCCCAAUGCCUAUUGCAGUGCAAUAGGAAUUUCUAGGGCGAAUGAUGGCUUCCCGUGAGCGUUGUUGCCUCGCGGUUGGUUGAAAAUCGAGUCCUUGGUAGGGUGUGCCAUGGUAGAUGGUGGUCGAGUUAGAACGAUACCGAUCAUGUGCAUGCUCCCCAAAAUAUGGCCUCUAUGACCCACACGCGUCUUUUGACGCUCAUGACGAGACCUCAGGUCAGGCGGGGCUACCCGCUGAAUUUAAGCAUAUCAAUAAGCGGAGGA
Molecule: unclassified non-coding RNA, 395 nt
Filed under: soil metagenome
Description: partial contains 5.8S ribosomal RNA, internal transcribed spacer 2, and large subunit ribosomal RNA
Rfam family: 5.8S ribosomal RNA (bases 1-122)
Source: RNAcentral